GGGCUAGGGCUUCAACACAUGGAUUUGAGGGGGACAGAGUUCAGUCCAUAACAGGCUGGAAAUGCAAUCACAGGUAUCCUUAUAGGGUAGACACACAGAAGCAGAGACAGGGAGAAGAGGAGGAAAUAACGAGACCACAAAAGCAGAGAUAGAAGUGAUGCAGCCACAAACCAAGGAAUGCCUGGAGCCACCAGACAGGGAAAGACAAGGAGUGGACUCUCCCCUGGAGCUGUGGGAAGGAGGGAGGCCCUGCAGAUACCUUGUUUUGACUUCUGGCUUCCAGAACUAGUCAGAACUAAACCUUAUGAUGCAACUGCUUUCUGGAAGAUGCAACUGUUUGCAAGAUGAUUCUGCAGUUGACACAGCACCAAAGAAUAUUGUUGACAUGAACAAGCAGGUAAAGUGUUCUGACGACAACCUGGGAAAAAGCACCUUGGGCUAAGAUCAGCGCAGAUGAAGUUCCCUUCCUAGUGGCCCUGCUCCCAACAGUCUAUCUGUGCCUCCACCGUGGCACCUACGACUUUGAACACCGUUCUGCAGCUAUGGACAUACAAGGUAACCUCCCCUACCAGAGCAACCCUCCUUGAGGUCCACCAUGUUCAGUCUCACCACCUGCUGCCCCCCAACACACACACACACACAACUCCUAGGCCAAAACCUUAAACACAGCAAUCAUUCGGCAAAUCUACGAGGAGGGAUAAUUUAUGAACAUUUUCCACUGAGCUUGGUUCAGUGUGAUCACAAAGAUCGGCCAGUCCAUGCUUGUUGACUGGCUCAUUGCCACAUGUCUACAUGCCAGAUAGCACCCUGAAUUGCACCCAGGAGAAUGCUACAGAUGUGUGCUCCACCUGAGUGCAUGGGCAUGUGCCGCACAAGCACCUCUCCAGGGAGUCAUGGUAGAAGGUCCUCACGGUCCACAGUUGCGCCUUUGAGGAAGAGGAGGUGGAGUGAGGCGGUACCCCUUUGGCUUGUGGAAGGCUGUGUACCUGAUGGUAAAGCACUGGCUUUAGAGUCAGAUGGUACUUCUCUGAUCACCCACCAUUUCUUUUCCUUUUUUAAACCGUGAUAAAAUAGACAUAACAUAAAAUUUACCGUCUUAACCAUUUUUAGGUGUACAGUUCAG
This 1123-nucleotide long non-coding RNA is filed under the name Equus caballus (horse). RNAcentral describes it as "lncRNA (ENSECAG00000052945.1)". Lineage: Eukaryota; Metazoa; Chordata; Mammalia; Perissodactyla; Equidae. The record is from RNAcentral.